This 72-nucleotide transfer RNA is filed under the name Methanomicrobia archaeon. Its description in RNAcentral is "tRNA-Arg". It matches the Rfam family "tRNA". From Rfam's summary of the family: Transfer RNA (tRNA) molecules are approximately 80 nucleotides in length. Lineage: Archaea; Methanobacteriati; Methanobacteriota; Methanomicrobia. The record is from RNAcentral.
GCCCCAGUGUGGUAAAGGAUAUCCGCUGGGCCUGCGGAGCCCAGCAUUCGGGUUCGAUUCCCGACUGGGGCA